Molecule: non-coding RNA, 69 nt
Organism: Rattus norvegicus (Norway rat)
Lineage: Eukaryota; Metazoa; Chordata; Mammalia; Rodentia; Muridae
Source: Rfam
GGGGAUUUAGCUCAGUGGUAGAGUGCUUGCCUACCAAGCACAAGGCCCUGGGUUCGGUCCCCAGCUCUG